CACAGAACAAACCAAAUGUUCGCUCUCCUUCUCAAAUCCCCAAUCGCUCUUCCUCUUAUCAACUGACCAUUGCCCAUCGCUCAUCGUCCCUCUCAUCGACGGUGAUCACCAUACCUCACUGUGUCUCACCGUCUCAUCGCCACAGUCAGUACGCCGUCUAGCCUCCAAUUGAUUUUGAUUUAGCAAACCUGAAUGCUUCUAGUGGAUUACAGAUAUGCGAGUCAUCACACCAUUUGAGUUUCGAGUGGAAUCAUUAGCUUGCGGUUGAGUGCCACUAAAGAAGUGAAAAUGACUUCAAUGGUUGAUGACAUAAAUGCUUAUUCUUACUUGUACCCUGCAGAAUUGCCAUCUAGAAAGUUUGUCUUCAAAUGGCUCUUGGAAUUACUGGUCAAUGCACUACCUCUGCUCAUAGGCAAUGAAGAUAAACUGAUAUGGGAAGCAGAUCUUUCAGGUAUGAAUCAAAUCUAUUAGAGGUUUAUUACAGUGGUGGAAAGGUUUCAGCUAUAGUAUAAGUGCAGAAAAUAAGAAAGAAAAAUUUGGGAAGUAGUUCCUUUUGCAGCAAUGUAGUCAUUUUGGAAAAUUAGGAAUGUUUGGAAAUUCAAUGGGACCCAAGUAAACUAGGAUUCCAUCACUAAAAUUAUAAACCUAAGAGUGGCAAUUAUUCAAGCGUAGAGACCAUAUAUCUCAUCAUACACCAUAGCAAACUCACUAACUCUUGGAACUAAAAUCCAUAUUCUACCCUUCACUCCUCCAAGUAUGCUGAUAUGCACAUAAGUGAUAAUCAAAUAUUAAUAAUUUUAGCUCCCCACUAUUUUGGGGGUUGCAACACAAAUCAUGUUAUGUCACAUGGGUAUUAUGCUAUUUCUCACUGCUCAUACAUGAUAACUUCCUGCUUAUUCAACCUAAAAUUCUAUCCCCAGAAGUAGUUAACUUAAAAGACACUACCAUAUACUUUGUAGGUUUGAAUAUCACUUACGAUUCUUUGAUUGAAACUUUCAUCUUGGAUGAAUUUUAUUUUUUUUAUUCGGGGGCCAAAAUUAUGUAACAAUCAUGAGAAGGCCCAGAGAACACCUCAAAUAACUCGGGAGAAACUAAUCUAAGUUGUGAAAACUUAUGGAACUAGCACAGGACUCCCGAUUCGAAAACUAAGUCGAAAAAUGCACUUUUCUAACACUUAAGCUUAAAAAUAGGCCAUCGGGGGCCA
Camellia sinensis is the source of this 1204-nucleotide non-coding RNA. Lineage: Eukaryota; Viridiplantae; Streptophyta; Magnoliopsida; Ericales; Theaceae. The record is from RefSeq and is a predicted model, not a curated record.